Molecule: unclassified non-coding RNA, 4936 nt
Filed under: Nilaparvata lugens (brown planthopper)
Lineage: Eukaryota; Metazoa; Arthropoda; Insecta; Hemiptera; Delphacidae
Description: cyclic AMP-dependent transcription factor ATF-6 alpha, transcript variant X1
Source: RNAcentral
AUAUAGAAUUCCGUCAAUCAAUAUCAAAAUUUCAUUAAUAGUCAACUCAUCUUGAGUUUUUUCGUUUUCUUAUACAAUUUAUUGGAAAGUAAAUAGUUAUGAUAAAAAUGUUGAUGCUAUUAUGCUGGCAUUGUAAUCUUGAGUAGGGCAGAGUGAGAGAGAGCAAACUUGCGACUUGAUGGUGAAGUGAAGUAGCGGCAGCAAUUCUUGUUUGUUGUAGGCGUAAACGUAAACUUUGUUUGUUUUUCUCAAUUAAGCGUAUACUUUUUCAAAUUAACAUGUUGUGUGUCUAUUUUCCUGGAUGCAGUUUAUGCUAGUGUGACAUUUAUUCGUAGUAAUUUUAUCCAACUUAGCUUUGAUUAUUAAAAAUGUUGGUUACUGAAAAGGGCGAUGAACUCUUUUCCAGUUUAGUAAGUUUUCAAUCAUCUGGAUUAGAAAGCAAUGGACAUUACAAUUUUGGAAAUGGAUCAAAUGGUUCUUUGAAUCAAUUCAGUGUUGAUAUGGAUUGUGACAUUCCCACUUCAGAAGACUUCCUCCAUGAACUUUCAAAUGAUCUUCAGAUUCCAAUGUUAUUGGAGGAGAGUAAUUUCAAGGAAGAAUGUGAAAUUUCUGACUCUUCAUCCCUUCUACACAAGUUGAACGAUUGGGGAAACGAUUCUCUGGAACUUCAAUUUUUCAAAGAUGAAAUCAAGGAGGAACCGAAGUCUCCAAAUUCAACUUCAAGCAUCGAUUCCUGGCAAGCUAUAGAAAACGAUGCAAAGGUUACUUUGGAGACUCCGCCGAUUUCUCCUCCUGAAACCACUAACGGCAGUCCACCCAGAUCUCCCACGACCGAAACAGUGCACCAGAAAUUCGCCAUCAAUGAAAAGCCAGUGAUUUUGUGCAACGGAAGCAACGGCGCCAUUAGGAUACUGCCCUACAACAAUCGAAAUAACUGCAAAAAGAAUUUUGUUACCAGUAACGUUUCAGAUGUGAAUGUGAAUGGCAAAAAGAGCCAAGGUAAGGUGGUUGUGGCAGCACCUGGCACAAAAAUCAUCAAUCUACAACGACAGGUCAUCGGCUCAAAUGUCACACCACCCACUAUAACUGUACCAAAUGAUUUAUCAAAUACGAGAAGAGUACUGGUGUCAACCAAGGACAUUUCUCUACUAACGCAACAAAACAAUCGUAUAAAUAGUCUUAGUAAUAUAAACUGUAUCAGUGGUAGCACUGCGAAUACAGUUAUCCCUGUUAUUACGAAUCCUAAUGUGCCUGCUGUCAAAAUUGAGCAAACAACUUCCAAACUUGUUCCAGCUUCGGUCAAGCGGGAAAUGCAGUUGAGAGUACUCAAGCGUCAACAGAGGAUGAUUAAAAAUCGAGAAUCUGCCUGUCUUUCGAGGAAAAAGAAGAAAGAAUAUGUUUCUUCGUUAGAAACUAGAAUAAGUGAUUUGGAGAAAGAAAACUUGGAACUUCGAAAGGAGAAUGCAUCGUUGAAAGAAAGGCUGUGCGAAUUGGAAGGCGGCGUAUCCACCAAACCAAAAUCUACCUUUCAACCAAACCUGAAGAAAACUUCAGUGAUUUUGGCUGUUCUGUUGGUCGUCUCUGUCAAUCUUGGAUCAAUAAGUUUGAUGAAGAGACCAGCUGCGGAAUUGUCGUUGCACGAGAUGUCGGGUGGUGGCAACAGCGGUGGCCUAAGACACACCAGUCGCACGCUGCUCUGGCAGAAUGACGACAUCGGCGACUCUGCCUCUGCCAUUGGGGCCAACGCCACCUACAGCUCGCCCCUCACCUGUCCGCUGCACAUCAAUCAGACUGAGUCACUCAGGCUAAACUCAGAGUUGAGAAGGUGGAUUGGCGUGGAAGAAGACGGCUUCGCAUCGAAUGAGGAGGAAAAAGCUAGUUCACUAGAAAUGAACAAAAUGGAGCAGAAGUUGAAAGAGCUGAUGCUGCCUCCCUCCCCAAAUCUAUUCACUUCUCAUCCUCAGCCGCCUUCUAAUAAAUCCAAUCUGCCUUCUCCUAAAAAGAAAGUCAGGAAGCAGAAGAAAGUGCUGGGACAGGAGCUGCAGGUGCUGAGCGGUGGCGGGGGCAUGCCGGCCUCCUAGAGGCGAUCCGCCGCCGAGACGACACCUUCUACGUGGUCUCCUUCUCCAGCGAUCACCUGCUGCUGCCAGCCAUCGCGCACAACAACACCCUCAGGCCCAAGAUGUCGCUCAUUCUGCCCGCCAUUCCUUUCAAUGUUUCAGUGAACUCAGAAGAGCCGCUGAUGAUGAUGCAGAUCGACUGCGAGGUGCUGGACACGCGGCUGGUGGAAGUCAAGGAGCAGGACAUUCCGCACCACAUGCGCACCACGAGGCACCCCUCUCCCACCCCGCCCAAUGUGUCUGACAGUGUGGCAGUACAUCAGCAAGCGUACAGGCCUUACUUUAUGAGAGCGUCUUCAGAUGCCUCCCAGACUAGACCCUUCAAUUCGAAUGAAAACUAUCCUCCUGUAUACAAAACUAGAACAAGACUGCGGGAUUUUCCUUGAUUAGACAUACUUUUUAGAUGAAUUUACGAUUAUUGUGAGUGAAUCUAUUAAAAAACAGAUUCAUUCAAAUUAAUCACUAUUUUCAUAGCCACCUCUAAUACAAGGCCGCGGCCUACGAUAUUGCAACGUCGCAGUGUAGGCCUAGAAUCUAAUACAUGAUUGGUGAAAUAGAUCAGCUGGUAUUUUUUAAAAUCUUUGUCACCAAUCAUGUAUUAGACUCUAGGCCUACUAACACUGCGACGUUGCAAUAUCGUAGGCCGCAGCCUUAAAUUAGAGAGGUGGCUAUGUUAUUAUAUAACUGAUUGAUUAGUAUAUGUGAGUUUGAAAUAAAGUGACAUUUUGCGAUACAGUAUAACUUAGAUGUUGCUCAUAUUAGUUGUGCUUUAAAUGUUUUUAUAAUGAACAAUUGAUACGACAGAAUGCUAUGCUUAACCAUAAAGUAGAUUUUGUAGAUUUGAGCAAUUGCAGAUUUUUAUAUAGUUUUCUUAUUUAUUGAUUUUUACUGAAGAUAGUUUGAUACAAUGUUGAACUACUUAAUUAUAGAAACUUACCUGAUUAUUUGCAAUGUAAUGCUUGCAAAUACAAGUAACUAUGAUGUUUUAUAUGGAUAUAAUUAAUGCAAAAUUCUAGGUUAAUCAAAGCAAAUUAUGUUUGAUAUUAAUUUUAGAACUAGAUUUAGGAUGAGAAUUAAACUUUGUAUGAUUUUGUUUUAAAGUGCACAUUAUUUGUACAAAGUAAUAUAAGUUUUGGAUAUUUAUAAAUGCAAGCCGAAGCUGAUAGAGAGUGAUAAUUUUAAUCAAAACUCAAACUUUUUUCUUGGACGCUAAACAAGCAAGUUUUUUACCAAUUGGUAUUCAGGCUCAUAGAGCUAAUAUUGAUUAUGAGCCACCAAAAAUUGCAAAAUAAAAAAUGUUCUCAAUUUUUCCGCAUUUACAUCAACAAGUUCUAAGCUGAUACAACUUAUAAUUAUUAUUCAAGUAUUUUACCUAUAAAGCAUCAACUUCCUCAAACAUACUUUUUGCAAUUUCCCCAAUUUUCAGUGAUAAAUUUAUUAUUUUGUAUAAUAUUGAAGAAAUAAAAUUUCUAGCUUACAAUCUUCGAAAAGCACACCUUGAUGGCUAAAUCAUCAGGUGCCUAAGAGGUUAUACAUAAUUAUCGAUAUCCAAAUUUCUUGGUAAUGGUCUGUUACGCUGUUCUAUUUACUAUCAGUGUGCUACACUCAUAUCAUAUCUUGACUUGUGUGGGUUUAUUAUAUUUUAAGUAAUAUAAUUUAAAAAUUCAUUUUUAUGAAUCAUUGCAAUUAAAUCAUAGUAAAUGUACACCACAUAGUGAAUCAACUAACCAUCACAUUAAACGACGAAUACAAUUAUUUUUCAAAGUAAUUGAUAUGCUUGUGAUCAGUUUUAAUUACCGUUAUACCGUACUGAAUGAAUUUUAAAUAUGAAUAUCACCCUAAUAAUGAUCAUAAACUACUAAUAAAUUAUUGAUUAUACUCUAGUAAUUAUACUGACAAGGUAAUACAUAAAUAUAAAUCACAUUAGAUUUGUCAAUCUCAUUAUUGUUUUGGUUCAUAUAGUUCAUUAUUUUUCUAAAAUAAGUCUUAACAUAUUUUGGAAAUUUUCAUUAUUUUUCAAACCUUUUAAAUUUAAAUAGAUGCAGUAAUUUUAAUUUGAUAACUAUCCUUUCUAAAUUUAGCUUGGAUCAUGCGUGAUUUCAAGUUGAAUAGGUUUUUUUAACUGAGUUUUAUUUCACAAAAAUUCACUAGCCCAUGGCUGACUAAUAGAUAGUCAAUGUUGAUAUAUAUCAACACUAUUGAUUGACCAUGACUGGCAACUUCAUAAAUUUCUUUGAAAAACUUGGGUAGAAUAUAAUUUAUAACAUAAAAAAGCACAAUUCUGACACAGUUUAUUCCUAAUUUAAUUUAAUAUUUAUGUAAUAGUAAUUAGUAAAACUCUUUUCUGAAGUACCGUAUUCAAAAAUUCAAUUAAUUAUGUAAGUUAUAAGAAAUGAAUACUUUGUUCUGAAAUUGUUUUUUCAUAGGUGAUGAAUUCUAUUUUAUGCAUUUGAUUGGUCUCUUAGGUUUAAUAACGAUUUGUAUAUUUAUGCUAUAGAUAAUAUUAUAUACGUACAGUUUAACAAUUAUAUAAAAAUACUAAAUCAAUUCCUAUUGGUAUUUAGUCAAUCGUUUAGAAAAUUUAUGUUGAUUGUUACAUUACAUUACAAAUUAAUUUAUCGUUAAUUUAUUGUUGAAAUAAGUGAGAGUAAAAUUUAAUAUAUUGAUAAAUUUAUAACUUAUAAAGUAGUAUUGUUUGUUGUUCCUAGAAAUUAAGACUAUUACACAGAAGUUGUGAUUCAAUGUGUAUAUUCUUGAUUUGUGCAGUGUUUGUGAAGCAAUAAAAUGCUAUCAAAUAUACAGAUAUGUCAACUCAA